GUUGUUUGAGUUUAGAGAAUGAAGUGUUCUAUUCCAGAUUGAAAGGCUCCAUCAUUUUGUAUAUUAGUUCUAAAUUUCAAAUAGGGAUUUCCAAACUUGUGAAUGAAUUGGUAUCAAUUACUUUUUAUGUGAUUUUAAUAACUGACAAAUAGUAUUCUUUUUUACAUAAUAUUAAUAUUAAUGCCUAACAAGUGUAACGUUGUUAGUAAAAUGAACCAUUUCAAAAGAAUAAAGUGGUGAUGCCCAAUUGUUGGGUGCAAUUUCGUGAAAGGUACUACUUUAAAGCCCAACUUCGAAGACAUGUGUCAUCAUGUCACAA
This 319-nucleotide long non-coding RNA is filed under the name Oryza brachyantha (malo sina). RNAcentral describes it as "long non-coding RNA (OBRA_LNC000954)". Lineage: Eukaryota; Viridiplantae; Streptophyta; Magnoliopsida; Poales; Poaceae. The record is from RNAcentral.